GGAGGUUGGGUCAUCGGUAGCUCAACAGCCGAAGAUUGGCAUUUCCACCCUGCUAAGGUGGAGUUCCCUUACGGGAACCGAGGGUUCAAGUCCCUCCGUCUCCGCCA
This 107-nucleotide transfer RNA is filed under the name Microbacterium saccharophilum. RNAcentral's name for it is "tRNA-OTHER". The record is from RNAcentral. Lineage: Bacteria; Bacillati; Actinomycetota; Actinomycetes; Micrococcales; Microbacteriaceae.